This 106-nucleotide ribosomal RNA is filed under the name Caerostris extrusa. The record is from RNAcentral. Lineage: Eukaryota; Metazoa; Arthropoda; Arachnida; Araneae; Araneidae.
CAUACCAUGCUGAAUAUACCGGUUCUCGUUAGAUCACCGAAGUCAAGCAUCAUUGGGCACGGUCAGUACUUGGGUGGGUGACCACCUGGGAACACCGCGUGCCGUU